Molecule: ribosomal RNA, 348 nt
Filed under: Alaimus sp. PDL-2005
Lineage: Eukaryota; Metazoa; Nematoda; Enoplea; Enoplida; Alaimidae
Also listed under: 1 other name
Description: SSU rRNA
Rfam family: Eukaryotic small subunit ribosomal RNA
Source: RNAcentral
AUAGCGUAUAUUAAAGUUGUUGCGUUUAAAAAGCUCGUAGUUGGAUCUGCGGCCUAGGAUAGCGGUCCCCCAAUGGGUGGUCACUGCUUUUCCUGGCCUAAUAUCUCCGGUUUUCCCUUGCUGCUCUUCACUGAGUGGCUUGGGUGGCUGGAAAAUUUACUUUGAAAAAAUUAGAGUGCUUAAAGCAGGCGCAAGCCUGAAUAGUGGUGCAUGGAAUAAUGGAAUAGGACCUCGGUUCUAUUUUGUUGGUUUUCGGAGCUCGAGGUAAUGAUUAAGAGGGACAGACGGGGGCAUUAGUAUUGCGACGUUAGAGGUGAAAUUCUUGGAUCGUCGCAAGACUAACUACUG